RNAcentral lists this unclassified non-coding RNA (363 nucleotides) under uncultured bacterium. Its description in RNAcentral is "contains 16S-23S intergenic spacer region". The record is from RNAcentral.
UCCGCCUUGGAGGCGGCAGUCUCCCCUGAAAAUACAACAGAGGAUGAGGGUUGCGCUCGUUCGCUGACUUAACAGUACACCUCAAGGCACGAGCUGACGACGACCGUGCAACGCCUGUGUGUAGGUUCCUUGCGGCACUCUCGAAUUUCUUCGAGAUUCCUACCAUGUCAAGUCUGGGUGAGGUGCUUCGCUUAUCAUCGAAUUAAACCCCAUGCUCCACCGCUUGUGUGGGUCCCCGUCUAUUCCUUUGAGUUUUAGUCUUGCGACCGUACUUCCCAGGCGGCGAGCUUACCGCGUUAGCUUGAGGCACGGGAACUGAUUGAAGUUCCCACACCGGGCUCGCAUCGUUUAGGGCGUGGACUA